GGAGCUUGCUCCACCGGAAAAAGAAGAGUGGCGAACGGGUGAGUAACACGUGGGUAACCUGCCCAUCAGAAGGGGAUAACACUUGGAAACAGGUGCUAAUACCGUAUAACAAUCGAAACCGCAUGGUUUUGAUUUGAAAGGCGCUUUCGGGUGUCGCUGAUGGAUGGACCCGCGGUGCAUUAGCUAGUUGGUGAGGUAACGGCUCACCAAGGCCACGAUGCAUAGCCGACCUGAGAGGGUGAUCGGCCACAUUGGGACUGAGACACGGCCCAAACUCCUACGGGAGGCAGCAGUAGGGAAUCUUCGGCAAUGGACGAAAGUCUGACCGAGCAACGCCGCGUGAGUGAAGAAGGUUUUCGGAUCGUAAAACUCUGUUGUUAGAGAAGAACAAGGAUGAGAGUAACUGUUCAUCCCUUGACGGUAUCUAACCAGAAAGCCACGGCUAACUACGUGCCAGCAGCCGCGGUAAUACGUAGGUGGCAAGCGUUGUCCGGAUUUAUUGGGCGUAAAGCGAGCGCAGGCGGUUUCUUAAGUCUGAUGUGAAAGCCCCCGGCUCAACCGGGGAGGGUCAUUGGAAACUGGGAGACUUGAGUGCAGAAGAGGAGAGUGGAAUUCCAUGUGUAGCGGUGAAAUGCGUAGAUAUAUGGAGGAACACCAGUGGCGAAGGCGGCUCUCUGGUCUGUAACUGACGCUGAGGCUCGAAAGCGUGGGGAGCAAACAGGAUUAGAUACCCUGGUAGUCCACGCCGUAAACGAUGAGUGCUAAGUGUUGGAGGGUUUCCGCCCUUCAGUGCUGCAGCUAACGCAUUAAGCACUCCGCCUGGGGAGUACGACCGCAAGGUUGAAACUCAAAGGAAUUGACGGGGGCCCGCACAAGCGGUGGAGCAUGUGGUUUAAUUCGAAGCAACGCGAAGAACCUUACCAGGUCUUGACAUCCUUUGACCACUCUAGAGAUAGAGCUUCCCCUUCGGGGGCAAAGUGACAGGUGGUGCAUGGUUGUCGUCAGCUCGUGUCGUGAGAUGUUGGGUUAAGUCCCGCAACGAGCGCAACCCUUAUUGUUAGUUGCCAUCAUUUAGUUGGGCACUCUAGCAAGACUGCCGGUGACAAACCGGAGGAAGGUGGGGAUGACGUCAAAUCAUCAUGCCCCUUAUGACCUGGGCUACACACGUGCUACAAUGGGAAGUACAACGAGUCGCGAAGUCGCGAGGCUAAGCUAAUCUCUUAAAGCUUCUCUCAGUUCGGAUUGUAGGCUGCAACUCGCCUACAUGAAGCCGGAAUCGCUAGUAAUCGCGGAUCAGCACGCCGCGGUGAAUACGUUCCCGGGCCUUGUACA
This 1332-nucleotide ribosomal RNA is filed under the name Enterococcus durans. RNAcentral describes it as "bacterial SSU rRNA". It matches the Rfam family "Bacterial small subunit ribosomal RNA", at positions 75 to 1387 of the family's 1533-position model. The record is from RNAcentral. Lineage: Bacteria; Bacillati; Bacillota; Bacilli; Lactobacillales; Enterococcaceae.